This 253-nucleotide ribosomal RNA is filed under the name uncultured bacterium. RNAcentral describes it as "partial 16S ribosomal RNA". It matches the Rfam family "Bacterial small subunit ribosomal RNA", at positions 524 to 776 of the family's 1533-position model. The record is from RNAcentral.
UACGGGGGGGGCAAGCGUUGUUCGGAAUUACUGGGCGUAAAGGGCUCGUAGGUGGCCAACUAAGUCAGACGUGAAAUCCCCAGGCUUAACCUGGGAACUGCGUCUGAUACUGGAUGGCUUGAAUUCGGGAGAGGGAUGCAGAAUUCCAGGUGUAGCGGUGAAAUGCGUAGAUAUCGGAAGGAACAUCAGUGGCGAAAGCGGCUUCCUGGACCAGCACCGACGUUCAGGCACGAAAGCGUGGGGAGCAAACAGG